Molecule: long non-coding RNA, 1490 nt
Organism: Spinacia oleracea (spinach)
Lineage: Eukaryota; Viridiplantae; Streptophyta; Magnoliopsida; Caryophyllales; Amaranthaceae
Exons: 3
Source: RefSeq, a predicted model, not a curated record
UUCAGUCAAAAGACCAAUAAACACUCUCUGCUAUUCUUCUUAACCGUGUCAUCUCCUCUAUGAGAGUCAACCAUGAGCUUUUGAUGUGUGUUCACCAUUUUUCAUUCAACUCCUUGAUUCAUCAACCUACCUAUAGAAUUAAAGACCAAAACUAGAGUAGCCUAUCUUAAUCAGCAAUUCUCAUUCUCCAUUUCUUCCAUUUGUCAACACAAUUAAGCUGCGUUGUUGAAACCAGAGAACACCAUAGCCCCUAUAAAUAGAGGCACAUUCAUCACAAAAGAGAUACAAAAUCAGAUUACCUUCAAAAUCCAAUUAAAAUCAUAAGUUCUUAAUCUUGUUCGAACAACAGAGAGCAUCGCCGGAAACCACCGCGAGCGACCAUCACCGGCAUUGCCGCCGGCGUUCUGCUACCACCCACCCUCGCCUAGUAAUCCGGCCACCUCGUGUGUGCGGGUCCCGACCAGACGCCAUGCACCCAGUUACCAGCCGAUCUCCUUUUUCCUUCUCUGCUCUUCUGUUUUGCGAAACGAUCUCGACCCUCGGAGCUCAGGAAGGACGAUAAUCAAGGCUAAAGAAAAAGCCUAGCCAAUCACGAAAUUAAGGUGUCGACCGGGACGGCGGAUGCGAUUAGUGGCAAGGAUUUCGUCUUAUUAGGGCUCACCUAGUUUAAGCUUAAUUUGUACUAAGUUCAAGUAAGAAUUUUCUACUAAGUUAUGUAAGUCACUUUUGAAUAUUAAUAUAGAACAUAGUUAUAUUAGUUUUAUAAACGUAUUAUGAGGAUAAUAGCCUUGUAAUUCCCAAGAGGGAGUUACGGCGGUAAUGUUCCGACCAAAUUAGGGCAAUUCCGCUGCUUAAUUACUUGAAUUAGAGGUCGGGGCGUUACACCCUACCUCAUCACUAUCAUAAAAGGAUUACACGGAGAAGGAGAAGAAAGUGUAGAAACAUUCCACCAAGUCGAAUCUUUGGCCUAAGGAGUGCAUGAUGUUUAUGCACGGGAGAAGAUAAGUGAACUAGCCACAGGCACAUUCCUUGUACGGACCGUGCAACCCUUAUAUCUCUAUGUAGCCUAAGGAUAGCAGGGUGCCAUAGACCGUGCGAAUUUGGCACAAACCAUGUAGAGCUGAUGCAUUGUUCGUCGCACGAACCAUAUAAGACCUAUUGUGCUACCUUUCGCAAAACUACACGACCCUGUUGUACGGGCCAUGCAGACCUGCUGAAGACUGUGCGAUGAUUGACGGAUAAUCCACUUCUUGGGCACAUGUUCCCCUUAGUAUAAAUAGAAUAUUACCCUGAAUCUCAUAGGUGUAGAGUGUGUUGUAGUGUAGUUUUCUCUGACUUUUCUGAAUUUCCUAGGUUGCACACUCUCACUACUUUAUUGCUUUCUUAGUUUAACUCUUUAAUUUAGAUUUAAUGUGCUUUAUUGUUCUUUCAAAUUCUGCACUUUAGGAGCAAGAUCUCCUCUUUCGAUUCAAGUCUGGUAUUAUUUCUUA